AUUCCAGCUCCAAUAGCGUAUAUUUAAGUUGUUGCAGUUAAAAAGCUCGUAGUUGGAUUUCGGAUGGGUUUGACCGGUCCGCCUUUGGUGUGCACUGGUCGCGCCUAUCUUGCUGUCGGGGACGCGCUCCUGGCCUUAAUUGGCUGGGACGCGGAGUCGGCGAUGUUACUUUGAAAAAAUUAGAGUGUUCAAAGCAGGCCUAAGCUCUGAAUACAUUAGCAUGGAAUAACGCUAUAGGACUCUGGUCUUAUUGCGUUGGUCUUCGAGACCGGAGUAAUGAUUAAGAGGGACAGUUGGGGGCAUUCGUAUUUCAUUGUCAGAGGUGAAAUUCUUGGAUUUAUGAAAGACGAACUUCUGCGAAAGCAUUUGCCAAGGAUGUUUUCAUUG
RNAcentral lists this ribosomal RNA (387 nucleotides) under Pyramimonadales sp. RNAcentral's name for it is "partial small subunit ribosomal RNA". It matches the Rfam family "Eukaryotic small subunit ribosomal RNA", at positions 582 to 975 of the family's 1831-position model. Lineage: Eukaryota; Viridiplantae; Chlorophyta; Pyramimonadophyceae; Pyramimonadales. The record is from RNAcentral.